RNAcentral lists this ribosomal RNA (391 nucleotides) under Haptophyta sp. RNAcentral describes it as "partial small subunit ribosomal RNA". It matches the Rfam family "Eukaryotic small subunit ribosomal RNA", at positions 582 to 975 of the family's 1831-position model. The record is from RNAcentral. Lineage: Eukaryota; Haptophyta.
AUUCCAGCUCCAAUAGCGUAUAUUAAAGUUGUUGCAGUUAAAAAGCUCGUAGUCGAAUUUCAGGGCGGCGGGCACGGUCUGCCGAUGGGUAUGCACUGUGUCGGCCGCCUUUCCUGCUGGGGUCCGCGUCUGCACUUAACUGUGCGGGCGCGGGGAACAGCGCGUUUACUUUGAGAAAAUCAGAGUGUUUAAAGCAGGCCAAGAUUGCUCUUGCAUGGAUUAGCAUGGGAUAAUGAAAUAGGACUUUGGUGCUAUUUUGUUGGUUUCGAGUACCGAAGUAAUGAUUAAUAGGGAUAGUCAGGGGCACUUGUAUUCCGUUGAGAGAGGUGAAAUUCUUAGACCAAUGGAAGACAAACUACUGCGAAAGCAUUUGCCAGGGAUGUUUUCAUUA